AGUUAUGUAGCUCAGUUUGGUAGAGCAAUAGAUUUCUAGACUGAAAAUCUAGGUUUUCGGUAACACUCUUUAAAGUGUGUCGGUUCAAAUCCGAUUUUAAACUA
RNAcentral lists this transfer RNA (104 nucleotides) under Tenacibaculum sp. MAR_2010_89. Its description in RNAcentral is "tRNA_Pseudo_GAA". It matches the Rfam family "tRNA". Rfam says of the family: Transfer RNA (tRNA) molecules are approximately 80 nucleotides in length. Their secondary structure includes four short double-helical elements and three loops (D, anti-codon, and T loops). The record is from RNAcentral. Lineage: Bacteria; Pseudomonadati; Bacteroidota; Flavobacteriia; Flavobacteriales; Flavobacteriaceae.